This 505-nucleotide ribosomal RNA is filed under the name Streptomyces xiamenensis. Its description in RNAcentral is "bacterial SSU rRNA". It matches the Rfam family "Bacterial small subunit ribosomal RNA", at positions 124 to 643 of the family's 1533-position model. The record is from RNAcentral. Lineage: Bacteria; Bacillati; Actinomycetota; Actinomycetes; Kitasatosporales; Streptomycetaceae.
AUCUGCCCUGCACUCUGGGAUAAGCCCGGGAAACUGGGUCUAAUACCGGAUACGACACUCCGAGGCAUCUUGGAGUGUGGAAAGUUCCGGCGGAGCGGAUGAGCCCGCGGCCUAUCAGCUUGUUGGUGGGGUAAUGGUCUACCAAGGCGACGACGGGUAGCCGGCCUGAGAGGGUGACCGGCCACACUGGGACUGAGACACGGCCCAGACUCCUACGGGAGGCAGCAGUGGGGGAAUAUUGCACAAUGGGCGAAAGCCUGAUGCAGCGACGCCGCGUGAGGGAUGACGGCCUUCGGGUUGUAAACCUCUUUCAGCAGGGAAGAAGCGAAAGUGACGGUACCUGCAGAAGAAUCACCGGCUAACUACAUGCCAGCAGCCGCGGUAAUACGUAGGGUGCGAGCGUUGUCCGGAAUUAUUGGGCGUAAAUAGCUCUUACGCGGUUUGUCGCGUCGAUUGUGAAAGCCCAGGGAUUAACCCUGGGUCUGCAGUCUAUACGGGCAGGCUA